This 397-nucleotide ribosomal RNA is filed under the name uncultured bacterium. RNAcentral describes it as "partial 16S ribosomal RNA". It matches the Rfam family "Bacterial small subunit ribosomal RNA", at positions 523 to 918 of the family's 1533-position model. The record is from RNAcentral.
AUACGUAGGUGACAAGCGUUAUCCGGAUUUACUGGGCGUAAAGGGCGUGUAGGCGGUCUUGCAAGUCAGUAGUGAAAUUCCCGGGCUUAACUUGGGCGCUGCUUCUGAAACUGCUUUACUUGAGUGCUGGAGAGGAUAGUGGAAUUCCUAGUGUAGCGGUAAAAUGCGCAGAUAUUAGGAGGAACACCGGUGGCGAAGGCGGCUAUCUGGACAGUAACUGACGCUGAGGCGCGAAAGCACGGGGAGCAAACAGGAUUAGAUACCCUGGUAGUCCGUGCCGUAAACGAUGAAUACUAGGUGUAGGGGGUAUCGACUCCCUCUGUGCCGCAGUUAACACAUUAAGUAUUCCACCUGGGGAGUACGGCCGCAAGGUUGAAACUCAAAGGAAUUGACGGGG